This 840-nucleotide ribosomal RNA is filed under the name uncultured eukaryote. RNAcentral describes it as "SSU rRNA". It matches the Rfam family "Eukaryotic small subunit ribosomal RNA", at positions 635 to 1426 of the family's 1831-position model. The record is from RNAcentral.
CGGUGUUCAACUGGCGUGCCCGCGGGACGUCCUGCCGGUGAGCUCAGCCCGCGAGGGCGGCUCAACUUGAAAUCCCAUCGCGGUGCUCUUCAUUGAGUGUCGAGGUGGGCCGGCACGAUUACUUUUGAACAAAUUAGAGUGCUUAAAGCAGGCUAAAAUUUUGCCUGAAUACUGUGUAUAUGGAAUAAUGGAAUAGGACCUCGGUUCUAUUUUGUUGGUUUUCGGAACCCCGAGGUAAUGAUUAAUAGGAACGGAUGGGGGCAUUCGUAUUGCGACGUUAGAGGUGAAAUUCUUGGAUCGUCGCAAGACGGACUAAAGCGAAAAGCAUUUGCCAAAAACGCUUUCAUUGAUCAAGAACGAAAGUUAGAGGUUCGAAGGCGAUCAGAUACCGCCCUAGUUCUAACCAUAAACUAUGCCAGCUAGCGAUCCGCCGACGUCCCUCUGAUGACUCGGCGGGCAGCUUCCGGGAAACCAAAGCUUUUGGGUUCCGGGGGAAGUAUGGUUGCAAAGCUGAAACUUAAAGGAAUUGACGGAAGGGCACCACCAGGAGUGGAGCCUGCGGCUUAAUUUGACUCAACACGGGAAACCUCACCAGGCCCAGACACUGGAAGGAUUGACAGAUUGAGAGCUCUUUCUUGAUUCAGUGGGUGGUGGUGCAUGGCCGUUCUUAGUCGGUGGAGCGAUUUGUCAGGUUAAUUCCGAUAACGGACGAGACUCUGACCUGAUAACUAGACGCACUUGCGGCAUCUCAAAGGUCCGCCGGCGGCUGGCUUUGCGCCCGUCGUCGCGCGCGAUUUUUACUGCCGGCGUACAAUAAAUUCUUCUUAGAGGGACAAGUGG